UAAAAGUCUCUUCUGAGUCAUUAAUCCAAGACAGCAUUGAAUUCCAUUCUAAGUGGUUAGACGUCUUUGGAGAAUUACCCUUCAGAUCCAGGGGAUCGACCACAAUGAAAACCAUUGAGAUAAUCUGCUGCCUCUUCAUCAUCAUCUUUGCUUUAGCAGUCUCUCACCCACUGUAUGACAAUGUUUUGGGAGACCAAGAAACAAAGCAG
Molecule: long non-coding RNA, 209 nt
Organism: Candoia aspera
Lineage: Eukaryota; Metazoa; Chordata; Lepidosauria; Squamata; Candoiidae
Exons: 3
Source: RefSeq, a predicted model, not a curated record